Molecule: ribosomal RNA, 253 nt
Filed under: uncultured bacterium
Lineage: Bacteria
Description: partial 16S ribosomal RNA
Rfam family: Bacterial small subunit ribosomal RNA
Source: RNAcentral
UACAGAGGUCCCGAGCGUUGUUCGGAUUCACUGGGCGUAAAGGGUGCGUAGGUGGUGAGGUAAGUCGGAUGUGAAAUCUCCAAGCUCAACUUGGAAAUGGCAUUGGAAACUACCUCGCUGGAGGUUUGGAGGGGGGACUGGAAUUCUCGGUGUAGCAGUGAAAUGCGCAGAUAUCAGGAGGAACACCGAUGGCGAAGGCAGGUCUCUGGGCAUUAACUGACGCUGAGGAGCGAAAGCAUGGGGAGCGAACAGG